CACACACUGACAAAUGCCCGUCUUCU
RNAcentral lists this unclassified non-coding RNA (26 nucleotides) under Mus musculus (house mouse). RNAcentral describes it as "oocyte_clustered_small_RNA5784". Lineage: Eukaryota; Metazoa; Chordata; Mammalia; Rodentia; Muridae. The record is from RNAcentral.